RNAcentral lists this long non-coding RNA (2052 nucleotides) under Setaria viridis. RNAcentral's name for it is "long non-coding RNA (SVIR_LNC006507)". Lineage: Eukaryota; Viridiplantae; Streptophyta; Magnoliopsida; Poales; Poaceae. The record is from RNAcentral.
AGCUAAGCAUAGCUACCCAACAGAAAAGUAAACCCAGGUUGGCAAGGAAUAAUCACAAAAACUAGGCAAACCUUAAUAAGACCCAUCAAAUUUAAUGCAAGCAUAUGCAAUAGUGAUUAAACAAAGUUAUUAGGACAAAAGCACAAGGACACACUUGCCUUUCUCCAGCGACAAGUUACUUCUUACUGCUCUUCGGCUCUUGCUCUCUUGAAACUCUUAAUCUUCAAAGCUUUCGAACAGUGAUCCUUCUACUCGAAGCAAACAUCGGCACAAACAUGCAAGCAACAAACAAGUACAACUAAGAGCAGUACGCCAAAAUAAAAGACAGGCUUUAAAAGAGCGUACUAACGACAAGGCUCGAUCUAAGGUCACGCGAACGUAAGGAACGCUUAAAACGGAACUAUGGUGGAAAAGAUAAAGCUAUCGAGAGUUUUGAGUUAUAAAAGAAAAAUAAGAGCUACAAGCUUUAUUUAUUUUAGUUGAGAAAAGCAAUGUAAAGAUAUUUCAGAGAAAUAUCCUUAGUUAGAAUUAAUCAAGUCAUAUUUAUAUUUUCAUGAGAAAAGACGGUGUAAAGCUUACUCCAAUUUUAUUUAUAAAUAUUUGAGUACAAUUUAUGCAAAUUAAACAUUUAAUUUCAAAAAUAAGAUACAUGUAGACAUCUAAGCGUAUAGCUUUACAUCUCGAGUUCAACUAAGUAGAUUAAAUUAAAAACACAUUCAUAUUUAUGUUAGCCAAAUUAAUAUUUAAUUAUGAAAACUCGAGAUAUAACCUAUACAGAUUUUAUUUAGAAAACAAAUUGAAUAGACAUUAAUCAAAUUGAAUUUAAUUUAUGAAACGCCGAGGUAUAACUCUAAGUGGCUUUUAAUUGGAAGAAUUAUUUAGAUAGGUAUUAACCAAAUUAACUUUAGUUUAUGAAAAACCGAUAUAUAACCUAAUUGGCUUUUAUUUAGAAGAGGGUAUGAAGUAGGCAUUAAUCAAAUUAACAAUUAUUAUGAAAAACGAUGUUUAACACUAAAUAGAUUUUAUUUAGAGAAGAACUCGUUUGUCAGGCAUUAAUCAAUUUUAAUAUAAAUUUUAUUUUCAAAAACAUGUGUGAAGGAAAACAUUACCACUAACGUGUAAUUUACAUCAUUAUGAAUCUAACGCAACUUGAACGGACAAAAACGGAAUUAAAACGUAGAAUCUAUGGGUUAAACAACGUUGCAGGGGUCUAAACGUAAUUAACCGUAGACUUGGAGGGUUAGCAAGGAAAAUUUGCAAGACACCAGGAAUAGUGCUCGCAAAUAAAAGAAAUAACAGGGUUAGAUCCAAAAGAUUGUGAGGCUCGGUUUAAAUUGAAUGGGACCGGAAAGAUCGAGGGGUUUUCUGUGAAGUUGCCAAGACACAAGAAAUAAGCUGAAAAUUUGAGUUUUCCUCAAGGGCCUAAAAGCAAAAUCGCCAUCUCAUCUUCAACCACCGGCCCUCCCGGGCUUCCCGGCGGCACUGGCCGGCGACGGCGGCCGGGGCCGGGCCAGGCCAGGGGCGCGGCGGCGCUAGGCGCGCAAGACGCGGCGGCGGCGGCGGGCAGCUGCAGCGCACGGCGGGCGAGCAGGGGCGAACCAGGCGGCAGCCAUGGUUACGUACUGCUCGGUUGUUUACAGAAACAGAAAAAGAAACAGGAGAGAGAAAGAUGGGAAAAGCUGGAAACGAAGCCCGAUCUCGCGCAUGAACGGCAAAAUGGAACGAUAUCGACGAGGCGAACAAGAUGGUGUGCUCACCUUCGGCAAGAGAUGAACAAUGGCGGCGGAAAAGCUCGCCGGAGUUGGGGAAGACGACGGAGCCGACAUCAGAUUCAUGCAAUCCACCACACCACGGCGUAGAGCUCGAAGAGAGGAACUCCAUGGUGGUGUCGGUUUUCGCCGGAAGUCCACGGUUUCGCCGGAAAAGCUCGCCGGAGUUUGACGAAGACCGAACUUUGACUUCAGAUCUACGGAGUUAGGAGAGGCAACUCGUGAAAAGGUUUGUAGAUCUGUAAUCCUCGCGUCGAGACGAACGCGGUGAUGUAUAUAUAGG